This 253-nucleotide ribosomal RNA is filed under the name uncultured bacterium. RNAcentral describes it as "partial 16S ribosomal RNA". It matches the Rfam family "Bacterial small subunit ribosomal RNA", at positions 524 to 776 of the family's 1533-position model. The record is from RNAcentral.
UACGUAGGGGGCAAGCGUUGUCCGGAAUCAUUGGGCGUAAAGCGCGUGUAGGCGGCCCGAUAAGUCCGCUGUGAAAGUCCAGGGCUCAACCCUGGAAUGCCGGUGGAUACUGUCGGGCUCGAGUCCGGAAGAGGCGAGUGGAAUCCUGGUGGUAGCGGUGAAUGCGCAGAUAUCAGGAGGAACACCAAUGGGCGAAGGCAGCUCCGCUGGGACGGUACUGACGCUGAGACGCGAAAGCGUGGGAGCAAACAGG